This 569-nucleotide ribosomal RNA is filed under the name Ompok pabo (Pabo catfish). RNAcentral's name for it is "partial 16S ribosomal RNA". It matches the Rfam family "Bacterial large subunit ribosomal RNA", at positions 1816 to 2597 of the family's 2925-position model. Lineage: Eukaryota; Metazoa; Chordata; Actinopteri; Siluriformes; Siluridae. The record is from RNAcentral.
CGCCUCCUGCAAACAUCAAUGUAUAGGAGGUCUUGCCUGCCCAGUGACAAGUUAAACGGCCGCGGUAUUUUGACCGUGCGAAGGUAGCGCAAUCACUUGUCUUUUAAAUGAAGACCUGUAUGAAUGGCGAAACGAGGGCUUAACUGUCUCCCUUCUCCAGUCAAUGAAAUUGAUCUGCCCGUGCAGAAGCGGACAUACAAAUACAAGACGAGAAGACCCUUUGGAGCUUAAGAUAAUAGACCAACUAUGUCAAGAACCUAAAAAACAGGUCAAACAAAGUAGCAACUGGUCCAUAUCUUCAGUUGGGGCGACUGCGGGAGAAAACAAAGCUCCCAUGAGGAAUGGGAUAUAUGUCCUAAAACUAAGAAAGACACUUCUAAGUCACAGAAUAUCUGACCACCUAGAUCCGGCCAUCCGCCGACCAACGGACCAAGUUACCCUAGGGAUAACAGCGCAAUCCCCUUUCAGAGUCCAUAUCGACAAGGGGGUUUACGACCUCGAUGUUGGAUCAGGACAUCCUAAUGGUGCAGCCGCUAUUAAGGGUUCGUUUGUUCAACGAUUAAAGUCCU